UGCUAUACUCUCUGUGUACCUGUAAAUCUCAUACAUGAUCAUACAUGUUCUAUGAAAAUAACAACUCUUGUCUGAACCAAGGCUUAACCUGUGCAUGCACUAUCACUGUACUCUGUACUCUGUACUCUGUACCCCUAGCUAGAGUUUGCUCUAGGUGGGUUAACUUAUACCUGUUAAGCCUGGUGUUCACAUACAAGAAAACAUAUAUACAUAUACAGAUCAUGUACAAAACAUACAUCACUAGGUCAAGCACAUUUCGAACUGUAUACACAACUAGUACAUCUCUUUAAUAUUACAUGUCCAUUCUAAGCUAUUACAAUUCUCUUUACUCUUCCUGUACUCUGCUGAACUGUCCCUGCACACUGUACACUGAACCUGCAAAA
This 383-nucleotide long non-coding RNA is filed under the name Manihot esculenta (cassava). RNAcentral describes it as "long non-coding RNA (MESC_LNC013141)". The record is from RNAcentral. Lineage: Eukaryota; Viridiplantae; Streptophyta; Magnoliopsida; Malpighiales; Euphorbiaceae.